CGAGCGGUAUUUGUCUUUCGGGACAGAGAGAGCGGCGUACGGGUGCGGAACACGUGUGCAACCUGCCUUUAUCUGGGGGAUAGCCUUUCGAAAGGAAGAUUAAUACCCCAUAAUAUAAUUGAUGGCAUCAUUGAUUAUUGAAAACUCCGGUGGAUAGAGAUGGGCACGCGCAAGAUUAGAUAGUUGGUGAGGUAACGGCUCACCAAGUCGAUGAUCUUUAGGGGGCCUGAGAGGGUGAUCCCCCACACUGGUACUGAGACACGGACCAGACUCCUACGGGAGGCAGCAGUGGGGAAUAUUGCACAAUGGGCGCAAGCCUGAUGCAGCCAUGCCGCGUGUAUGAAGAAGSCCUUCGGGUUGUAAAGUACUUUCAGCGAGGAGGAAGGCAUUAAGGUUAAUAACCUUAGUGAUUGACGUUACUCGCAGAAGAAGCACCGGCUAACUCCGUGCCAGCAGCCGCGGUAAUACGGAGGGUGCAAGCGUUAAUCGGAAUUACUGGGCGUAAAGCGCGCGUAGGUGGUUUGUUAAGUUGGAUGUGAAAUCCCCGGGCUCAACCUGGGAACUGCAUUCAAAACUGACUGACUAGAGUAUGGUAGAGGGUGGUGGAAUUUCCUGUGUAGCGGUGAAAUGCGUAGAUAUAGGAAGGAACACCAGUGGCGAAGGCGACCACCUGGACUGAUACUGACACUGAGGUGCGAAAGCAUGGGGAGCAAACAGGAUUAGAUACCCUGGUAGUCCACGCCGUAAACGAUGUCAACUAGCCGUUGGGAGCCUUGAGCUCUUAGUGGCGCAGCUAACGC
This 800-nucleotide ribosomal RNA is filed under the name uncultured bacterium. RNAcentral's name for it is "bacterial SSU rRNA". It matches the Rfam family "Bacterial small subunit ribosomal RNA", at positions 63 to 858 of the family's 1533-position model. The record is from RNAcentral.